AGAUUGAACGCUGGCGGCAGGCCUAACACAUGCAAGUCGAGCGGUAGAGAGGUGCUUGCAUCUCUUGAGAGCGGCGGACGGGUGAGUAAUGCCUAGGAAUCUGCCUAGUGGUGGGGGAUAACGUUCGGAAACGGACGCUAAUACCGCAUAUGUCCUACGGGAGAAAGCGGGGGACCUUCGGGCCUCGCGCCAUUAGAUGAGCCUAGGUCGGAUUAGCUAGUUGGUGAGGUAAUGGCUCACCGAGGCGACGAUCCGUAACUGGUCUGAGAGGAUGAUCAGUCACACUGGAACUGGGACACGGUCCAGACUCCUACGGGAGCAGCAGUGGGAAUAUGGACAAGUGGCGAAAGCCUGAU
Molecule: ribosomal RNA, 356 nt
Filed under: uncultured soil bacterium
Lineage: Bacteria
Description: bacterial SSU rRNA
Rfam family: Bacterial small subunit ribosomal RNA
Source: RNAcentral